AGGGCUCUUAACCAGCAAAGUGAGAGACUUUAUCUGGAAGGUGGACGAAGCAGAGCCUUUGUCCAGGUCUUUCUGGAAGAGCCCAAACAAUGAUGGUCAUAGAUAGUAUUUGUUGAGUGAUUAUUGUUCAUCAAGCUAAGCAUUUUUCAUGCAUUACCUUAAUUAGUCCUCCCAACAAUCUUAUGAAAUAGGGACUAUUCUUUAUCCCCAUUUAACAGCUAAGAAAAUCGAAGUUCAGAGAGGCUAAUCAAUGGUGAAGCCUGUAAUCAACCAAGAUGGGCUAAUGGCAGCAUCCUUAACCCCUGAGACGUCCUGCUUGCUGCUGGUGGAGCUAGAGCAGAAGGAGGCCCGUAGAGAGCAUGCCCAAGGCUGGAGCAGCAGCCAUGUCAGAGUCUGUUAACACUGAAAUUUAAUAUUCAACUGUAGAAAUUGAUUACAUUUAAUUUUAAAAUAAUUUCACAAAUUUAAUGAGCAUUUGUUCCUGAGUUAUUUUGUCUGCAUAAGUGUACCUCAUUUUAAACAUAUCUGUUUGGUGAAAUGCAGAAUAUGAAGAAGGGGAGAGACCAAGAAUGCAGGCCACUCUCUGAGGCCUUCAAAUCCUCCUGACCAAGUCAGUGUUUAAUGCUAGACCAAGCUUAAGGAAGGAAGAAAUCAGCACAGAGGAAUGAAAGCAGGGUUUGUAAAAACCCCCUAAAAUCACGUAAAACACAGGAAGGUAGAAACAUCAAAUCAUACAGUUUGUGGGAUGCCUGGAAAACAAAGAGACGGUUCACGCCCCUUUACAUGCCCUGGGCAAAGAGGUGUCACUAGGUGCCACUAAUUAGCUGUAUGCCCCUAGGCUAGUCAUUUCUCUAAUGUGGGCCUCAGUUUCUUCACUUGUAAAAUGAGAGAUUUGAACCUGAUGGUCUCUGUGGGUCCUCCCACCCUGGACCCAGAAUAUAAAGGUAUUAUUUCAUGACUAGCAAGAUAACUAAGCAGCAACAAUAUCAUACACUUACAGAGAACUCAUGUCUCAGGCACUGUUCUAAGUGCUUUCUGCAUAUUAACUCAUUGCAUCCUCAUCACACAAGUCCAUGAGGUGGGUGCUGUGAUCACCUCCUUUUGCAGAUGAGGAAACUGAGGCACACAGAGGCUAAGGAACACAUCCAAGGUCCCACAGGUAGUGGGUCGAGUUAGGAUUUGAACUCAGGCAGUCUAACUUUAACCCUGCAUGCUUAACCACUAUACAGCACCGCUUCUUUUCUGAAAAGCAACCUAAGAAGGAAUUUAUCUUUAUGCGUUCCAUAUAGUAGUUAUCUCUCUUAGUAGCUACAGCAAUCACUUUCAAGAUUUCAAUAGUUUUUUCUUCCCUCCAAAUGAAAUCCUAGAUAGAAUCUCAACGUACAAGCAGUAAAAGUAGAACUAAUCUAGUUUUGUAGGGGGAGGAGGAGGCAAGAGGCAAAACCCUACCCCCUCCUUGGGUCCUCUCCCACCCCUCCCAAAUGCAUUACCAACAGAAUCCUAGUCCUAAAAGAGUGUGUUUCAAAACGCUAUGGAGUACUAUGUGUUUAUGCUUUCUAAAAAUGAGUAAUCUUGUAACUCCCAGUAUUGAUUUUUGUAAUCCGUCAUCAGAAAAGUGUAUCUUUUAUGCUAAAAGAAUCACUUUAGGAAGUUUUGCUGCAUUAUUUGAAAUAAUUUUUAUUACUUCUAAGGAUAAAAGUUUUUGCCCCUUGUUGAACAGCAACUCCAUCUGUACAGUGUAAAUCAAUCCUGAAGAUGCAAUUUGAUAAAAAAAUGCAAUUUCAUCUAACACACAACUUUAGAGAAGUCAAGGAGUAUGUGUCAAGUGUCAACGGGCUACAUAAAGGACAUUUCUGCCCUAGAUACCAACCUAAGAGAGUCCCCUGAACAGCUCCCUGGGGCUUCUCUCACAGGAGAGCUUAAACAAUACUUUGUAAAAGUUGGGCUGUAUUAGGAGGCCCUGCUGUUCAGGGCCACCAAAUCCUGGCCUGGGAGUUGGAACACCUGACUUCUGACACUGGCUCUCACAGACUUGUUGCAUGACCUUGGGCAAAGCACUUCUCUUGGCCUCAGUUUAUUCAUCUGUAUAUUGAACCCCCUUUGUAGGGUUAACUCUCCUUGUCUAAUAUCCCAUGAUAUAUGCCCCCUGGCCUGCAUUAUUCUCUAGGGACCAAGUAGACUCCAGAUUUGAAACUUAGGAGAAAUGGGGAAAAAAAGCAGAAAGAGCAUAUAGAUGUGUGUUCUCACCAUCAGGCCAAAUUUUAGGAUGCUCUUCUGAGAGUCCUCAACACUUCUGUCCCCCAUCUGAGUUUCAGUGCUUGGGAGAAAGGGAAGAGGUCACUGCCACCCAGAACACUGUGCCUGGCUCAAAAUCUCAGCAUUGGCAGGCAGGGCACCCAGGAGUGAGCCAGCCCCAUGCACAAUACUCCCUACAUCCUUGGAUGAGGGUCUCCCAGCCUCUGCUGGGGCCUCAAAUAGUCAAGCUGUUGCAAGGAUUUAAGAUAUGGAAGAAAUGCAAACCAAGUUGAGUGGUGAUGUGCGCUGUGUCUUGGGGAGGUGCGAGGUCCAAGCAUGGAGUGGCUGGACAGAGAAAAUGGCAGAAGGAGGUCACCUGAUAAGCCCAAAGGUCCUUUUGAGAUUGGCCCAGGUUUACUAAACUGGUGGGGGGAGCUAGGGCGGGGCGGGGAGGGGCCUAGCUACUCCCAAUCUCACCCCCUAAUCUCAAAACCUGCGGAGGUUUCCUGCCAUAAGCAGACCAUUCUUCCCAAAGGGGCCACUGGA
Non-coding RNA from Ceratotherium simum simum (southern white rhinoceros), 2781 nucleotides. The record is from RefSeq and is a predicted model, not a curated record. NCBI's taxonomy places the organism in Eukaryota, Metazoa, Chordata, Mammalia, Perissodactyla, Rhinocerotidae.